Molecule: ribosomal RNA, 460 nt
Filed under: uncultured bacterium
Lineage: Bacteria
Description: partial 16S ribosomal RNA
Rfam family: Bacterial small subunit ribosomal RNA
Source: RNAcentral
CCUACGGGAGGCAGCAGUGAGGAAUAUUGGUCAAUGGACGAGAGUCUGAACCAGCCAAGUAGCGUGAAGGAUGACUGCCCUAUGGGUUGUAAACUUCUUUUAUAUGGGAAUAAAACGUUCCACGUGUGGGAUUUUGUAUGUACCAUAUGAAUAAGGAUCGGCUAACUCCGUGCCAGCAGCCGCCGUAAUACGGGGGAUCCGAGCGUUAUCCGGAUUUAUUGGGUUUAAAGGGAGCGUAGAUGGGUUGUUAAGUGCGUUGGGAAAGUUUGCGGCUCAACCGUAAAAUUGCAAUUGAUACUGGCAGUCUUGAGUACAGUUGAGGUAGGCGGAAUUCGUGGUGUAGCGGUGAAAUGCUUAGAUAUCACGAAGAACCCCGAUUGCGAAGGCAGUUUACUAAACUGUGACUGACAUUGAUGCUCGAAAGUGUGGGUAUCAAACAGGAUUAGAUACCCUUGUAGUC